UAGCACAUGCCAUGUGGGAUAGUUGGU
This 27-nucleotide non-coding RNA is filed under the name Homo sapiens (human). Lineage: Eukaryota; Metazoa; Chordata; Mammalia; Primates; Hominidae. The record is from RNAcentral.